This 73-nucleotide transfer RNA is filed under the name seawater metagenome. RNAcentral describes it as "tRNA-Ala". It matches the Rfam family "tRNA". Rfam says of the family: Transfer RNA (tRNA) molecules are approximately 80 nucleotides in length. Their secondary structure includes four short double-helical elements and three loops (D, anti-codon, and T loops). The record is from RNAcentral.
GGGGUCAUAGCUCAGCUGGGAGAGCACCUGCUUUGCAAGCAGGGGGUCAGCGGUUCGAACCCGCUUGGCUCCA